Molecule: ribosomal RNA, 264 nt
Filed under: uncultured bacterium
Lineage: Bacteria
Description: partial 16S ribosomal RNA
Rfam family: Bacterial small subunit ribosomal RNA
Source: RNAcentral
CGACGAGUGGCGAACGGGUGAGUAAUACAUCGGAACGUGUCCGCUCGUGGGGGACAACCAGCCGAAAGGUUGGCUAAUACCGCAUGAGUUCUACGGAAGAAAGAGGGGGACCCGCAAGGGCCUCUCGCGAGCGGAGCGGCCGAUGACUGAUUAGCCGGUUGGUGAGGUAACGGCUCACCAAAGCAACGAUCAGUAGCUGGUCUGAGAGGACGACCGGCCACACUGGGACUGAGACACGGCCCAGACUCCUACGGGAGGCAGCAG